RNAcentral lists this ribosomal RNA (282 nucleotides) under uncultured bacterium. RNAcentral's name for it is "partial 16S ribosomal RNA". It matches the Rfam family "Bacterial small subunit ribosomal RNA", at positions 28 to 288 of the family's 1533-position model. The record is from RNAcentral.
GAUGAACGCUGGCGGCGUGCUUAACACAUGCAAGUCGAACGAAGCACUUUGCUUGAUUUCCUUCGGGAAUGAUUGUUCUGUGACUGAGUGGCGGACGGGUGAGUAACGCGUGGAUAACCGUGCCUCACACAGGGGGAUAACAGUUGGAAACGGCUGCUAAUACCGCAUAAGCGCACAGCACCGCAUGGUGACAGUGUGAAAAACUCCGGUGGUGUCGAGAUGGGAUUCCGCGUUCUGGAUUAGCUUGUGGCGGGUAACGCCACAAGGCGACGAUCAGUAGCC